RNAcentral lists this ribosomal RNA (561 nucleotides) under Bacillus sp. Ni6. RNAcentral's name for it is "bacterial SSU rRNA". It matches the Rfam family "Bacterial small subunit ribosomal RNA", at positions 31 to 573 of the family's 1533-position model. Lineage: Bacteria; Bacillati; Bacillota; Bacilli; Caryophanales; Bacillaceae. The record is from RNAcentral.
UUUCGCUGCCCGCGUGCCUAAUACUUGCAAGUCGACCGGACAGAUGGGAGCUUGCUCCCUGAUGUUAGCGGCGGACGGGUGAGUAACACGUGGGUAACCUGCCUGUAAGACUGGGAUAACUCCGGGAAACCGGGGCUAAUACCGGAUGGUUGUUUGAACCGCAUGGUUCAGACAUAAAAGGUGGCUUCGGCUACCACUUACAGAUGGACCCGCGGCGCAUUAGCUAGUUGGUGAGGUAACGGCUCACCAAGGCAACGAUGCGUAGCCGACCUGAGAGGGUGAUCGGCCACACUGGGACUGAGACACGGCCCAAACUCCUACGGGAGGCAGCAGUAGGGAAUCUUCCGCAAUGGACGAAAGUCUGACGGAGCAACGCCGCGUGAGUGAUGAAGGUUUUCGGAUCGUAAAGCUCUGUUGUUAGGGAAGAACAAGUGCCGUUCAAAUAGGGCGGCACCUUGACGGUACCUAACCAAAAAGCCACGGGUUAACUACGUGCCAGCACCCGCGGUAAUACGUAGGUGGCAAGCGUUGUCCGGAAUUAUUGGGCGUAAAGGGCUCGCA